GUGAUUAACGCUCAAUACAAUAUUUGACAAGCAGCAUUUGUAGAUUUCUGUUACUACAAUUUACUAUUAUAAUAAUGAUGGAUAGCACCAGUUUCUCCAAAUCAAGCACAUAAUCCAUUUAGCUUCUAGAGGUAUACCCAUCAUGCAUAUGAUCACUUUAUCGGUAGCUAGUAUGAAAAAAUGGGUGGUGGGAAGAUGAUAUGAUUCUGCCUCCCAUUACUGACCCAGCUGCAGAGGGUUGGUGGCCUUCCUAAGCCCAAAGAGGAUUGCUCAUCCUUUCAUUAAUGCAAGAAACUGCUAAGAUCUUUCAACUUUAGCAGGCAGGUGGUAUUUAAACAUGGUCUAAUUAAAAGAAAGAAUGCAAGCAAGAAAACAGUAACUUAUCUGAACACCUUUUCAUUGCGCAUCCUUGCCUUCCCCAGUAUCCAAAAAAGGGGAGUUUAUGAGGGAGAAAACAUACUAGAGGAUCAGAAUAGGUAGGAACUUACCAGAUCUCAUUUAAAUGUAUUCAUCAUUACAGAAAUUACAUUAAAGUAUUUG
This 540-nucleotide long non-coding RNA is filed under the name Phoenix dactylifera (date palm). RNAcentral's name for it is "long non-coding RNA (PDAC_LNC004103)". Lineage: Eukaryota; Viridiplantae; Streptophyta; Magnoliopsida; Arecales; Arecaceae. The record is from RNAcentral.